Molecule: ribosomal RNA, 345 nt
Filed under: uncultured soil bacterium
Lineage: Bacteria
Description: bacterial SSU rRNA
Rfam family: Bacterial small subunit ribosomal RNA
Source: RNAcentral
AGGACGAACGCUGGCGGCGUGCUUAACACAUGCAAGUCGAGCGGUAAGGCCUUUCGGGGUACACGAGCGGCGAACGGGUGAGUAACACGUGGGUGAUCUGCCCUGCACUUCGGGAUAAGCCUGGGAAACUGGGUCUAAUACCGGAUAUGACCUCCUAUCGCAUGGUGGGUGGUAGGAAAGAUUUAUCGGUGCGAGGAUCGGGCCCGCGGCCUAUCGAGCUUUGGUUGGUGGGGUAAUCGGCCUACCAAGGCGACGACGGGUAGCCGACCUGAGAGGGUCGACCGGCCACACGUGGGACUGAGACACGGCCAGACUCCGUACGGGAGGCAGCAGGUAGGGAAUAUG